ACGGGUGCGUAACACGUGGAUACAUUCCGGGAAGCGGGGGAUAGCCCAGGGAAACUUGGAUUAAUACCGCAUGUGGUCGAAAGACUAAAGACGGGGACCGCAAGGCCUGUCACUUCCCGAUUGGUCCGCGGCCUAUCAGCUAGUUGGCGGGGUAAAAGCCCACCAAGGCUACGACGGGUAGCUGGUCUUAGAGGACGACCAGCCACACUGGAACUGAGACACGGUCCAGACACCUACGGGUGGCAGCAGUCGAGAAUCUUUCACAAUGGGGGCAACCCUGAUGGAGCGACGCCGCGUGGAGGAUAAGGUCUUCGGAUUGUAAACUCCUGUCAUGCGCGAACAAGGUUGCAGAGUUAAUAACUGUGCAAAUUGAUGGUAGCGCAAGAGGAAGAGACGGCUAACUCUGUGCCAGCAGCCGCGGUAAUACAGAGGUCUCAAGCGUUGUUCGGAAUCACUGGGCGUAAAGGGUGCGUAGGUGGCAUGGUAAGUCAGAUGUGAAAGCCUGGGGCUCAACCUCAGAAUUGCAUCCGAUACUGCUGUGCUAGAGUACUGGAGGGGUGACUAGAAUUCUCGGUGUAGC
RNAcentral lists this ribosomal RNA (580 nucleotides) under uncultured Prosthecobacter sp. Its description in RNAcentral is "bacterial SSU rRNA". It matches the Rfam family "Bacterial small subunit ribosomal RNA", at positions 102 to 679 of the family's 1533-position model. The record is from RNAcentral. Lineage: Bacteria; Pseudomonadati; Verrucomicrobiota; Verrucomicrobiia; Verrucomicrobiales; Verrucomicrobiaceae.